GACGAACGCUGGCGGCGUGCUUAACACAUGCAAGUCGAACGGAAAGGCCCUGCUUUUGUGGGGUGCUCGAGUGGCGAACGGGUGAGUAACACGUGAGUAACCUGCCCUUGACUUUGGGAUAACUUCAGGAAACUGGGGCUAAUACCGGAUAGGAGCUCCUGCUGCAUGGUGGGGUUGGAAAGUUUCGGCGGUUGGGGAUGGACUCGCGGCUUAUCAGCUUGUUGGUGGGUAGUGGCUUACCAAGGCUUU
This 249-nucleotide ribosomal RNA is filed under the name uncultured Actinomycetes bacterium. Its description in RNAcentral is "uncultured actinobacterium partial 16S ribosomal RNA". It matches the Rfam family "Bacterial small subunit ribosomal RNA", at positions 28 to 277 of the family's 1533-position model. The record is from RNAcentral. Lineage: Bacteria; Bacillati; Actinomycetota; Actinomycetes.